This is a non-coding RNA of Equus caballus (horse), 1360 nucleotides long. Lineage: Eukaryota; Metazoa; Chordata; Mammalia; Perissodactyla; Equidae. The record is from RefSeq and is a predicted model, not a curated record.
CACUGCUUCUGGGAACACUGGUCGUACCAAGGACAGCCCUUCGACAAUCAUGCAGCCUUUGUUCCUCUGUCUACUUAAGCAAGCUUCUCUUAAGGGGCAGUUGCAGGUGCACACUUCCGUCCAGCUGGCCGCCACUGGACACUCUCCCUGAGGAAAGUGAAGGGCAACAAUGGCAGGAAAGAUGGCUCAGAGCUAAAUAUUUUUCCUCUGCUGACCUCAAGGUCUCCGUGCCAGAAAUGAAGAAGGAGCCUGCAUGUUCAGAGCAAGAGAAAUAUGCUGCUAUGUAGACACCUACUUCAGCCUCUCAGUUCAGCAUGAACCUCCACACCCUUCAUUCUUGUUAUUUUCAGUUCCAAGAAAAGCUGGACCUCCUUCAUUGUAGGCAGAUUCUAAUCUCCAUCUGGCUCUGUCUGCCCUCUUUUAUGACUAAUCCUCUGGAUCUCUUUCUUAAUUCAUUCGAGAACUCAAGCCCAAUCACCAGUAAAAGCCCCUUUAUAUUCUGUAGACAUCCCUUUCACCUUUUGCUCUAAUAAGAAUCUGGCUCUCACCUGUGGACACUGUUCCCUGAAAUCCACUCAAGUGGAAAUUGAGCUGAUCUUUCUAUGCCUUGUCCCUCUCAGCUUGGAGCUGGGUUAAGUGUCAUUUUUAUUCCACUUUAUCACUCACGAACCACUGUACCCUCCUUCUCCCUACAGACCUUCUGUUCCCUUAAAGCGCAUGCCUUCUGAUUAUGCUACCCACUCACCAUCCCUCCUGGGCGGCGGUUAUUUACAGUGCUCCUGCUCACAACAUUCACCAGUUCCUUGAUUUUAUUCCUGUGUCAAUCAUUCUGAUCAUUCCGUGCAUAAAUCCUUAUCCCUCUAUCAUCACCUGGGCUCAAGAACAACUCAUGUCAAAUCCAACUCUCUCAUAUACAGUUAGAAUAUUGAAUCGAGAUGUGAAUCUGCCUUAUUGGAAGAAGGAAAUAAAUUUUUUAGUAGAGAUUGAAUGUGUUGUAUCAGGGAAUUUAGGGUCAGCAUUAUGUAUAGUAGUUAAAAGUAGAACCCCAAAUUUUCAACAAUAAAGACAUUGUAAGCCAAACAAAAAAAAAUAAGGAAAAACUUUCAGACUUUAUAGUCAUUUGACACAAACUGAGGUGAUUCAAGAACAAGUGGUGUACAAACAAAUGGGGUAGAGGAUGAGAUAGAAAGGUGAGGGCCACUCUUACAGCCCCGGGUGCACGAUGAAUUCAUAGUGAGAAGAGCCACAUGCAAAUAAUGUGCACAAUGAUUAACGGUGGAGUGAGUCAUAAUCUAACUAGGUCCACCUUUGGGAAGGGUUUGAGUAUGUAACAAAAGAUGAUUUUCCAAGGGGAUGAUCU